GAUGAACGCUGGCGGCGUGCCUAAUACAUGCAAGUCGAGCGAACAGAUAAGGAGCUUGCUCCUUUGACGUUAGCGGCGGACGGGUGAGUAACACGUGGGUAACCUACCUAUAAGACUGGGAUAACUUCGGGAAACCGGAGCUAAUACCGGAUAAUAUUUCGAACCGCAUGGUUCGAUAGUGAAAGAUGGUUUUGCUAUCACUUAUAGAUGGACCCGCGCCGUAUUAGCUAGUUGGUAAGGUAACGGCUUACCAAGGCGACGAUACGUAGCCGACCUGAGAGGGUGAUCGGCCACACUGGAACGGAGACACGGUCCAGAGUCCUAAGGGAGGCAGCAGUAGGGAAUCUGCCGCAAUGGGCGAAAGCCUGACGGAGCAACGCCGCGUGAGUGAUGAAGGUCUUCGGAUCGUAAAACUCUGUUAUUAGGGAAGAACAGACGUGUAAGUAACUGUGCACGUCUUGACGGUACCUAAUCAGAAAGCCACGGCUAACUACGUG
RNAcentral lists this ribosomal RNA (497 nucleotides) under uncultured bacterium. Its description in RNAcentral is "partial 16S ribosomal RNA". It matches the Rfam family "Bacterial small subunit ribosomal RNA", at positions 28 to 507 of the family's 1533-position model. The record is from RNAcentral.